UUUGUAGUAGGUGAGGAUUAGUUGAAUACAGGUGGUGCGCGCGCUAGAGAGAAGGAGGUCCAAAAAGUCUGUUCCCCGAUAAGACACUCUCGAUGAAGGGAGAUCGAAAAAGUACUAAAGGCUAAGCAAAGUUCGAACAUUAAUGACAUGGAUAAAGAAACAGGGAGACAAGGUAUCAUGUGCUCAGAUGAGCUCGUUCAGACCGGGAAGAUAUAGGAAUUUAGUUGGCAAUUGGCAUCGUUAAAGGCAUCUCCACGCGGCCUCCAUAUAUUGGUCUUAGUACUCUGGGG
This 290-nucleotide long non-coding RNA is filed under the name Capsicum annuum. RNAcentral's name for it is "long non-coding RNA (CANN_LNC013905)". Lineage: Eukaryota; Viridiplantae; Streptophyta; Magnoliopsida; Solanales; Solanaceae. The record is from RNAcentral.